GACGAACGCUGGCGGCGUGCUUAACACAUGCAAGUCGAACGGAAGGGCCCUGCUUGCAGGGUACUCGAGUGGCGAACGGGUGAGUAACACGUGGGUGAUCUGCCCUGCACUUCGGGAUAAGCCUGGGAAACUGGGUCUAAUACCGGAUAGGAGCCAUUUUUAGUGUGAUGGUUGGAAAGUUUUUUCGGUGUAGGAUGAGCUCGCGGCCUAUCAGCUUGUUGGUGGGGUAAUGGCCUACCAAGGCGGCGACGGGUAGCCGGCCUGAGAGGGUGGACGGCCACAUUGGGACUGAGAUACGGCCCAGACUCCUACGGGAGGCAGCAGUGGGGAAUAUUGCACAAUGGGCGCAAGCCUGAUGCAGCGACGCCGCGUGGGGGAUGACGGCCUUCGGGUUGUAAACUCCUUUCGCUAGGGACGAAGCUUUUUGUGACGGUACCUAGAUAAGAAGCACCGGCUAACUACGU
RNAcentral lists this ribosomal RNA (464 nucleotides) under uncultured bacterium. RNAcentral's name for it is "partial 16S ribosomal RNA". It matches the Rfam family "Bacterial small subunit ribosomal RNA", at positions 28 to 506 of the family's 1533-position model. The record is from RNAcentral.